GUAAAAAUAAGAAAUUAUCGAAUAGACUCGUUCAAACGAGAGCUGCUGUGUGGCAGCAA
This 59-nucleotide non-coding RNA is filed under the name unclassified sequences. RNAcentral describes it as "RAGATH-30 RNA". It matches the Rfam family "RAGATH-30 RNA". From Rfam's summary of the family: Environmental. Nearby to self-cleaving ribozyme genes The record is from Rfam by way of RNAcentral.